UAAAAAUUAUGCAAAAUCUUCAUCGUUAUGCACUUUUCGAAAAUGGAAGUCCAAAUUCAGAAGUCUCAUAUUAAUCUGUAGCAAAAAGAAGCAAAAACAACAAUGGAAGAAGAGAUGGAGAUGGAGGAAAGAAGCAAACCAAUUGCUAUCUUCAUGGCCUUCGGUACUAAAGGCGACGUCUACCCCAUCGCUGCCAUUGCUGCUGCUUUUGCUUGUGACCAGAAACAAUACAAUGUGGUCCUAAUAACUCAUUCAGCACAUGAGAACUUAGGUCAUCACUUGGCAGGAAAACAUGUUGCCUAUCAUCCAAUUUUAUCACCACCGGUCCUUUCUACAGAUCAGAACCAUGAGACUACUACAGGGUCAGGCUUACUGGAGUUGUCAUUCUUACUGCAAAAAAGAAUGGUUACAAAAGAACAUAGACGAGAAUGCUAUUCUCUAGUUCAAAGGAUAUUCGGAUGUGGCCAAAGCUUGGAUGGUGAUUUUAUUGUGAUAAAUUUCUUUGCAUUGGAAGGGUGGAGCCUUGCGGAAACGUUUCGUGUCCGUUGCAUUGUUGCUGCUCCAUAUGUUGUCCCUUACAGUGCACCUUCAUCAUUUGAGCGCCACUUUAAAAAAGAACUUCCUCUUUUGUAUAGAUAUCUGCAGGAAGCUACAACUAACAAGGUCUGUUGGAAAGACGUGAUUCAUUGGAUGUGGCCUCUUUUCACUGAUAGUUGGGGAUCUUGGAGAUGUGAUGAUUUGAAUCUGAGUCCUUGCCCUUUUACGGAUCCAGUAACAGGUCUUCCCACAUGGCAUGAUAUGCCUUCAUCUCCCCUAUUAUUGUAUGGAUUUAGCAAAGAAGUUGUUGAAUGCCCUGGUAUACUAAUCUUUUUUGGCUGCCAAAGAGACCUCAAAUGUUAUCUUGGUUAUUGGCCUUCAAAUGUCCGGGUUUGUGGCUUUUGGUUUCUGCCUAUGGAGUGGCAGUUUUCUUGUAAGGAGUGCAGUGAAAUCUCAGCGCUUGUUUCUUCAGGGAAUCUGCAGAGAAAAGAUGAACUAUGUUCAGCUCAUAUUGAUUUACACACUUUUCUGAAGACUGUGUCAACGCCACCAAUUUUUGUUGGGCUGAGCUCUGUUGGAAGCAUGGGCUUUCUAAAAAAUCCCCAAGCAUUUCUUUAUGUACUUCGAACUGUUAUAGAGAUCACAAGUUAUAGAUUUAUCCUCUUCACAGCUGGCUUUGAAGCUUUAGAUGCAGCUGUCCAUAUGAUUGCUGCAGAAGCAUCAUCGUGUUCAAGUCAAACACAGCUCAGUGAAGAUUGCAUCUCUCUCUUUAACAGUCGGCUCUUUUGCUUCACUGGUUCCGUGCCAUACAAGUGGCUGUUUCCAAAAUGUUUGGUUGCAAUUCAUCAUGGGGGCAGAUUAGUGGAACUACUGCUGCUGCAUUACAUGCAGGAAUCCCACAGGUAGUAUGUCCAUUUAUGCUAGAUCAGUUCUAUUGGGCUGAGAGGAUGUUUUGGCUUGGAGUUGCGCCAGAACCACUGAAAAGAGAUCAGUUGCUUCCUGAUCAGAACGAUGACAUGAGCAUCCGUGAAGCUGCAAAUGUACUAUCAAGGGCAAUAAAUGAUGCAUUAUCUCCUAAAGUGAAAGCAUGUGCAAUAGAACUUGCUGAAAGGAUUUCUCUAGAGAAUGGAGUCUUGGAGGCUGUGAAGACCCUCAAGGAAGAGCUGGGCUGUCCAGAUUAAGAAUUUAAGAUAAUCAAGAAAUUCCUACUUCUUAGACUUUUCUCUUUGUAACCUGGUCUUUUUCCAUCAUAUUGGUAACCUUUCAUUUCCUCCUCUCUCUCUCUCUUUUCUUUUCUUUUUAUUUUUUUAUUUAAUUUUUUUCAGCUUUUCCUUGUUUUGGCUGUUGAAUAUACCCAGUCCACAAAAAAAAUAAAAUAAAAUAAAAUUCAGAGGGUUUA
RNA transcript from Quercus lobata, 1936 nucleotides. It is a transcript of the gene named UDP-Glycosyltransferase superfamily protein, with no coding region annotated. NCBI's taxonomy places the organism in Eukaryota, Viridiplantae, Streptophyta, Magnoliopsida, Fagales, Fagaceae. The transcript is spliced from 16 exons. The record is from RefSeq and is a predicted model, not a curated record.